GCCGGCGUUGCCGUCGGCGCCUUGGGUGAAGCCGGUGCCGCCGGCGCCGGCGUUGCCGCCGGUGCCGCCGGUGCCGCCUUGGCCGCCGGUGCC
RNAcentral lists this transfer RNA (93 nucleotides) under Mycobacterium tuberculosis. RNAcentral's name for it is "tRNA-Gly(gcc)". The record is from RNAcentral. Lineage: Bacteria; Bacillati; Actinomycetota; Actinomycetes; Mycobacteriales; Mycobacteriaceae.